GUAUGGUGGCCAGAGAAACACAAAUACAGUGGGGGCUUGUUAUCAUUUUCAGGAGCUGACAACACAAUAUUCAGUCUUUAGAACCGACGCUCUGUGAAUAUAUAGCACCUGGCUCUUGAUGGUCUGAUUCCAUCAACUUGCUAUACGUGCCUCAGGAAGGUAAAGAUGCACAAUCCUUUACCCCAAACACAAAUUCUAUGUGAGCUCUAGGAAUUGUUCAGCGUACAGCUCCGCCAUCACCUGGUGGUUUUCUGCCCAGCUUCAUGGAGUUUUAGCCUAGGCCUGCACAGUUUAGUAUCCAACAACAGACUCAAAGACCUCAGUGCAGAAAUGUGGAGGUCUUUCUCCACAGAGCGUUCUCCUGCCUCACUGGUGGUCAGCCCUGCACAUUCCAGCCAUCUCUGCAUCCCUGAACUCCAGCCUCUACCUCCCCAACUCAGUAGGAAUGAAGUGCUCUGUUUGGGUUCUUGCUACGUGGACCAUUGUCAGACAUCUGAAGAAGGCUGGAUAAGAUCAGAGAUGAAUCAUGAGGCCUGGCCUCCAAAAAAAGUCAGAAGCACACACUGGAUGAGAAUGAAGGAACUCGUGGAAACAAAUGGAUCUCAAAGAUUUAAUGCAGCCAGGUCAUGUUCACUCUUGUCAACUUGAGUUGUGCAACACAGUUUAUCUUUUUUAAAUUUUCAUAGUAGUAUAUAAAGGAAUACAA
Molecule: long non-coding RNA, 706 nt
Filed under: Equus caballus (horse)
Lineage: Eukaryota; Metazoa; Chordata; Mammalia; Perissodactyla; Equidae
Description: lncRNA (ENSECAG00000056957.1)
Source: RNAcentral